Molecule: ribosomal RNA, 639 nt
Filed under: Pseudomonas putida
Lineage: Bacteria; Pseudomonadati; Pseudomonadota; Gammaproteobacteria; Pseudomonadales; Pseudomonadaceae
Description: bacterial SSU rRNA
Rfam family: Bacterial small subunit ribosomal RNA
Source: RNAcentral
GGGUUGUGGCGGCGGCUACACAUGCAAGUCGAGCGGAUGAGAAGAGCUUGCUCUUCGAUUCAGCGGCGGACGGGUGAGUAAUGCCUAGGAAUCUGCCUGGUAGUGGGGGACAACGUUUCGAAAGGAACGCUAAUACCGCAUACGUCCUACGGGAGAAAGCAGGGGACCUUCGGGCCUUGCGCUAUCAGAUGAGCCUAGGUCGGAUUAGCUAGUUGGUGGGGUAAUGGCUCACCAAGGCGACGAUCCGUAACUGGUCUGAGAGGAUGAUCAGUCACACUGGAACUGAGACACGGUCCAGACUCCUACGGGAGGCAGCAGUGGGGAAUAUUGGACAAUGGGCGAAAGCCUGAUCCAGCCAUGCCGCGUGUGUGAAGAAGGUCUUCGGAUUGUAAAGCACUUUAAGUUGGGAGGAAGGGCAGUAAGCGAAUACCUUGCUGUUUUGACGUUACCGACAGAAUAAGCACCGGCUAACUCUGUGCCAGCAGCCGCGGUAAUACAGAGGGUGCAAGCGUUAAUCGGAAUUACUGGGCGUAAAGCGCGCGUAGGUGGUUUGUUAAGUUGAAUGUGAAAGCCCCGGGCUCAACCUGGGAACUGCAUCCAAAAACUGGCAAGCUAGAGUACGGUAGAGGGUGGUUGAAU